CCUCUCGCCACUCACCAUUAACAUGUCUUCCAUCACCUUCUCCCCCACACUUCACUCACCUAAACUUUCCAUUCCAUUUUCACUAAACUCACUUACCACCUCCAUAUUUUUUCACUUCAUACAACCUAUAAACAACACCCCUAACCCAAACAUCUUCAACCAUCCACAUACAAAGUAACCUUUCAGCAUUAAUCUCUCUCAUUUUCUAUAAGAAAAAAACGUAAGUAGCCCACAAACCUUAUCCUAUUUGACUCUCAUGAGGCUCCACCAAACCACAUUUAUUUCCUUUUCAUCCACCAAAACCCAGUUUCCAUCUUCAACACCACUAACCAUUUGCCCCCCACAUCCAUACAACAACAUAAACAACUUCGCCCACACGUAAACAACAAGAACAAAUAGCGCCCGCCCUCCCUUUGACCACUCUCUCACCAUCGUUUUGAAAAAGUAGAAAGAAAAAAAGGGAAAGAAAAAAAUAUAUUUCUUUCCUACUAUUUCCAUCCCUCUCCAGCAUUGACAUAACAACACACAACUAAGAAUAUUUUCCCCACUCUCACUUCACGCAUCCACUAUAAUAACCACCUGCAUUUUUUUCUCAAUGAAACCCUCUUUUCGCAUAGCUUCGCAACACCUCCUGCAAAACUCUUCACCGCUGGCGGAAUCUCAUUCUCUCCAACCCUACAUGAAUGGUACUCCUUCAUCAUCCUUUUCUCACAUUGCAAACUUCACAACAACAAUCCAGUCGACCGUGUUCUCUACGUCAUAACCAUCAACGCAACCGAAAAUUUCCGAUCUGUUUUUUUUUGUUCAUCGUCGUUGCCG
This 819-nucleotide long non-coding RNA is filed under the name Lathyrus oleraceus (garden pea). RNAcentral's name for it is "Pisum sativum (pea) long non-coding RNA (PSAT_LNC006897)". The record is from RNAcentral. Lineage: Eukaryota; Viridiplantae; Streptophyta; Magnoliopsida; Fabales; Fabaceae.